GACGAACGCUGGCGGCGUGCUUAACACAUGCAAGUCGAACGGAAAGGCCCCUUUGGGGGUACUCGAGUGGCGAACGGGUGAGUAACACGUGAGUAACCUGCCCUUGACUUCGGGAUAACUUCAGGAAACUGGGGCUAAUACCGGAUAGGAAUCCUUGCUGCAUGGUGGGGGUUGGAAAGCUUCGGCGGUUUUGGAUGGACUCGCGGCUUAUCAGCUUGUUGGUGGGGUAGUGGCUUACCAAGGCUUUGACGGGUAGCCGGCCUGAGAGGGCGACCGGCCACAGUGGGACUGAGAUACGGCCCAGACGCCUACGGGAGGCAGCAGUGGGGAAGAUUGCACAAUGGGCGGAAGCCUGAUGCAGCAACGCCGCGUGCGGGAUGACGGCCUUCGGGUUGUAAACCGCUUUCAGCAGGGGCGAAGCUUGUGGUGACGGUACCUGCAGAAGAAGCACCGGCUAACUACGUG
Molecule: ribosomal RNA, 465 nt
Filed under: uncultured bacterium
Lineage: Bacteria
Description: partial 16S ribosomal RNA
Rfam family: Bacterial small subunit ribosomal RNA
Source: RNAcentral